GAACUGAAGAGUUUGAUCAUGGCUCAGAUUGAACGCUGGCGGCAGGCCUAACACAUGCAAGUCGAGCGCAGCACGGGUACUUGUACCUGGUGGCGAGCGGCGGACGGGUGAGUAAUGCCUAGGAAUCUGCCUAGUAGUGGGGAUAACGUUCGGAAACGGACGCUAAUACCGCAUACGUCCUACGGGAGAAAGUGGGGGAUCUUCGGACCUCACGCUAUUAGAUGAGCCUAGGUCGGAUUAGCUAGUUGGUAGGGUAAAGGCCUACCAAGGCGACGAUCCGUAACUGGUCUGAGAGGAUGAUCAGUCACACUGGAACUGAGACACGGUCCAGACUCCUACGGGAGGCAGCAGUGGGGAAUAUUGGACAAUGGGCGAAAGCCUGAUCCAGCCAUGCCGCGUGUGUGAAGAAGGUCUUCGGAUUGUAAAGCACUUUAAGUUGGGAGGAAGGGCAUUAACCUAAUACGUUAGUGUUUUGACGUUACCGACAGAAUAAGCACGGCUAACUCUGUGCCAGCAGCCGCGGUAAUACAGAGGGUGCAAGCGUUAAUCGGAAUUACUGGGCGUAAAGCGCGCGUAGGUGGUUCGGUAAGUUGGAUGUGAAAUCCCGGGCUCAACCUGGGAACUGCAUCCAAAACUGCCGAGCUAGAGUAUGGUAGAGGGUGGUGGAAUUUCCUGUGUAGCGGUGAAAUGCGUAGAUAUAGGAAGGAACACCAGUGGCGAAGGCGACCACCUGGACUGAUACUGACACUGAGGUGCGAAAGCGUGGGGGAGCAAACAGGAUUAGAUACCCUGGUAGUCCACGCCGUAAACGAUGUCGACUAGCCGUUGGGAUCCUUGAGAUCUUAGUGGCGCAGCUAACGCAUUAAGUCGACCGCCUGGGGAGUACGGCCGCAAGGUUAAAAACUCAAAUGAAUUGACGGGGGCCCGCACAAGCGGUGGAGCAUGUGGUUUAAUUCGAAGCAACGCGAAGAACCUUACCUGGCCUUGACAUGUCGAGAAGUCUGCAGAGAUGCGGAUGUGCCUUCGGGAACUCGAACACAGGUGCUGCAUGGCUGUCGUCAGCUCGUGUCGUGAGAUGUUGGGUUAAGUCCCGUAACGAGCGCAACCCUUGUCCUUAGUUACCAGCACGUUAUGGUGGGCACUCUAAGGAGACUGCCGGUGACAAACCGGAGGAAGGUGGGGAUGACGUCAAGUCAUCAUGGCCCUUACGGCCAGGGCUACACACGUGCUACAAUGGUCGGUACAAAGGGUUGCCAAGCCGCGAGGUGGAGCUAAUCCCAUAAAACCGAUCGUAGUCCGGAUCGCAGUCUGCAACUCGACUGCGUGAAGUCGGAAUCGCUAGUAAUCGUGAAUCAGAAUGUCACGGUGAAUACGUUCCCGGGCCUUGUACACACCGCCCGUCACACCAUGGGAGUGGGUUGCACCAGAAGUAGCUAGUCUAACCGCAAGGGGGACGGUUACCACGGUGUGAUUCAUGACUGGGGUGAAGUCGUAACAAGGUAGCCGUAGGGGAACCUGCGGCUGGAUCACCUCCUUAA
This 1538-nucleotide ribosomal RNA is filed under the name Pseudomonas cavernicola. RNAcentral describes it as "bacterial SSU rRNA". It matches the Rfam family "Bacterial small subunit ribosomal RNA". Lineage: Bacteria; Pseudomonadati; Pseudomonadota; Gammaproteobacteria; Pseudomonadales; Pseudomonadaceae. The record is from RNAcentral.